GUCGAGAAUCUUUCACAAUGGGGGCAACCCUGAUGGAGCGACGCCGCGUGGAGGAUAAGGUCUUCGGAUUGUAAACUCCUGUCAUGCGUGAACAAGGUUGCUUGGUUAAUACCUGGGCAAAUUGAUGGUAACGCAAGAGGAAGAGACGGCUAACUCUGUGCCAGCAGCCGCGGUAAUACAGAGGUCUCAAGCGUUGUUCGGAAUCACUGGGCGUAAAGGGUGCGUAGGUGGCGUGGUAAGUCAGAUGUGAAAGCCCGGGGCUCAACCUCGGAACUGCAUCCGAUACGGCCAUGCUAGAGUACUGGGGAGGUGACUAGAAUUCUCGGUGUAGCAGUGAAAUGCGUAGAUAUCGAGAGGAAUACCAAAGGCGUAGGCAGGUCACUGGACAGUUACUGACACUGAGGUGCGAAAGCGUGGGGAGCAAACAGGAUUAGAUACCCUAGUAGUCC
This 449-nucleotide ribosomal RNA is filed under the name uncultured bacterium. Its description in RNAcentral is "bacterial SSU rRNA". It matches the Rfam family "Bacterial small subunit ribosomal RNA", at positions 354 to 796 of the family's 1533-position model. The record is from RNAcentral.